This 372-nucleotide ribosomal RNA is filed under the name uncultured organism. RNAcentral describes it as "partial 16S ribosomal RNA". It matches the Rfam family "Bacterial small subunit ribosomal RNA", at positions 527 to 896 of the family's 1533-position model. The record is from RNAcentral.
GUAGGUGGCAAGCGUUGUCCGGAAUUAUUGGGCGUAAAGCGCGCGCAGGCGGUUCUUUAAGUCUGAUGUGAAAGCCCACGGGCUCAACCGUGGAGGGUCAUUAGAAACUGGAGAACUUGAGUACAGAAGAGGAAAGCGAAAUUCCACGUGUAGCGGUGAAAUGCGUAGAGAUGUGGAGGAACACCAGUGGCGAAGGCGGCUUUCUGGUCUGUAACUGACGCUGAGGCGCGAAAGCGUGGGGAGCAAACAGGAUUAGAUACCCUGGUAGUCCACGCCGUAAACGAUGAGUGCUAAGUGUUAGGGGGUUUCCGCCCCUUAGUGCUGCAGCUAACGCAUUAAGCACUCCGCCUGGGGAGUACGGCCGCAAGGCUA